UGGGGAAUUUUGGACAAUGGGCGCAAGCCUGAUCCAGCCAUGCCGCGUGCAGGAUGAAAGCCUUCGGGUUGUAAACUGCUUUUGUACGGAACGAAAAGGUGCCUUCUAAUAAAGGGCGCUCAUGACGGUACCGUAAGAAUAAGCACCGGCUAACUACGUGCCAGCAGCCGCGGUAAUACGUAGGGUGCGAGCGUUAAUCGGAAUUACUGGGCGUAAAGCGUGCGCAGGCGGUUUUGUAAGACAGAGGUGAAAUCCCCGGGCUCAACCUGGGAACUGCCUUUGUGACUGCAAGGCUGGAGUGCGGCAGAGUGGGAUGGAAUUCCGCGUGUAGCAGUGAAAUGCGUAUGUAUGCGGAGGAACACCGAUGGCGAAGGCAAUCCCCUGGGCCUGCACUGACGCUCAUGCACGAAAGCGUGGGGAGCAAACA
This 427-nucleotide ribosomal RNA is filed under the name uncultured bacterium. Its description in RNAcentral is "bacterial SSU rRNA". It matches the Rfam family "Bacterial small subunit ribosomal RNA", at positions 355 to 774 of the family's 1533-position model. The record is from RNAcentral.